AAUAAACUCACAACGAUACAUUUUUGGAAAAUGCAGCGUCUCAAAAGGUUAGCACUUAAUGGAAAUAGAUUUGCAAAAGUUCCUAAUUUCUGCAGUUUUAAUGGCAGUUUAUUUCCGAGACUUGAGAGCUCGUCCUUGUGUGAUAAUAAUAUCGGGAAUAUUGAUAGAACGUCAUCUAUUUGUCUGCCUAAACUUGUGGUCUUACA
RNAcentral lists this long non-coding RNA (206 nucleotides) under Mytilus galloprovincialis (Mediterranean mussel). Lineage: Eukaryota; Metazoa; Mollusca; Bivalvia; Mytilida; Mytilidae. The record is from RNAcentral.